UCCUGGGGUUAAAGGUGUGUACUACUUUGCCUGAGUCUAAACUUUUCAUGGCCACUAUGCCUCAACAUCUCCAUACCAAGAUUCAUUUAAGAAACUUGUCUUCCAGCCUCAAGAUCUGGUGAGCCCUCCAAUUCUGGAUUAUAGUUCAUUCCAGAUAUAGUCAAGUUGACAACAAGGAAUAACCAUUACAGUAACACAGUCACAGAGUUAAACACAAACUCAAAAGAGUCAAAACAGAUAAUGAGAAGUGUUCUUUGCACUCCCGCCCCCAACCUCUGCCUUGCCUCACGGCCCAGCUCCCUCCAAGUCGACCCUUCAACGUCCGUAUUCACAAAGGCACUUGCUUCAUCAUCUGCAGCAAAAUGUGGAGACAUGAAGGAUACUGUGUCAAGUGACAGAAGAGACAGACGCAGAGUGAACAACCAGCACCACAGGUUUCCUCUUACACGUGGAAGCUGAAUAAGUUUCCCUAACUGUAGAACAGUGUGAUGGUUUGAAUAUGCUUGGCCCAGGGAGUGGCACUAUUUGGAGUUGU
Molecule: long non-coding RNA, 535 nt
Filed under: Rattus norvegicus (Norway rat)
Lineage: Eukaryota; Metazoa; Chordata; Mammalia; Rodentia; Muridae
Description: long non-coding RNA NONRATT033740
Source: RNAcentral